UUAAAUUGAAGAGUUUGAUCAUGGCUCAGAUUGAACGCUGGCGGCAGGCCUAACACAUGCAAGUCGAACGGUAACAGGAAGCAGCUUGCUGCUUUGCUGACGAGUGGCGGACGGGUGAGUAAUGUCUGGGAAACUGCCUGAUGGAGGGGGAUAACUACUGGAAACGGUGGCUAAUACCGCAUAACGUCGCAAGACCAAAGAGGGGGACCUUCGGGCCUCUUGCCAUCAGAUGUGCCCAGAUGGGAUUAGCUAGUUGGUGAGGUAACGGCUCACCAAGGCGACGAUCCCUAGCUGGUCUGAGAGGAUGACCAGCCACACUGGAACUGAGACACGGUCCAGACUCCUACGGGAGGCAGCA
Molecule: ribosomal RNA, 358 nt
Filed under: Salmonella enterica subsp. enterica serovar Braenderup
Lineage: Bacteria; Pseudomonadati; Pseudomonadota; Gammaproteobacteria; Enterobacterales; Enterobacteriaceae
Description: bacterial SSU rRNA
Rfam family: Bacterial small subunit ribosomal RNA
Source: RNAcentral